GUGAGGGAGGGUGUGACUAGUGACAGGUAAGCAGGGAAGGGGUGACUAGUGACAGAGGGAGGGGUGACUAGGGACAGAGUGAGGGAGGUGGUGACUAGUGACAGUCACCACCUCCCUCACUCUGUCACUAGUCACCACCUCCCUCCAUCACUGUGUCACCCCCUCCCGCACUCUGUCACCAGUCAUCCCCUUACUCUGUCACUAGUCACCCCUCCCUUCCCUCAC
Non-coding RNA from Pelobates cultripes (western spadefoot toad), 225 nucleotides. Lineage: Eukaryota; Metazoa; Chordata; Amphibia; Anura; Pelobatidae. The record is from the annotation of a GenBank genome assembly.